RNAcentral lists this transfer RNA (82 nucleotides) under Hydra vulgaris (swiftwater hydra). Its description in RNAcentral is "transfer RNA serine (anticodon AGA)". It matches the Rfam family "tRNA". From Rfam's summary of the family: Transfer RNA (tRNA) molecules are approximately 80 nucleotides in length. Their secondary structure includes four short double-helical elements and three loops (D, anti-codon, and T loops). Lineage: Eukaryota; Metazoa; Cnidaria; Hydrozoa; Anthoathecata; Hydridae. The record is from Rfam by way of RNAcentral.
GCUGUGAUGGCCGAGUGGUUAAGGCGUUUGACUAGAAAUCAAAUGGGAUCUUCCCGCGUAGGUUCAAAUCCUACUCACAGCG